GCGAGGGUAUCCGAGCCAGGUCAAAGGAGCAAGGUUGAGGGCCUUGUCGCGAAGGCGUUCGAGCGUUCAAAUCGCUUCCCUCGCA
This 85-nucleotide transfer RNA is filed under the name Methanospirillum hungatei. RNAcentral's name for it is "tRNA-Leu". The record is from RNAcentral. Lineage: Archaea; Methanobacteriati; Methanobacteriota; Methanomicrobia; Methanomicrobiales; Methanospirillaceae. RNAcentral also lists the same sequence under 6 other names.